GCUGGUGUGGCUCAGUGGAUAGAGCAUCAGCCUGCAGACUGAGGGUCUCAGGUUUGAUUCCGGUCAAGGGCA
RNAcentral lists this transfer RNA (72 nucleotides) under Myotis lucifugus (little brown bat). It matches the Rfam family "tRNA". Rfam says of the family: Transfer RNA (tRNA) molecules are approximately 80 nucleotides in length. The record is from Rfam by way of RNAcentral. Lineage: Eukaryota; Metazoa; Chordata; Mammalia; Chiroptera; Vespertilionidae.